CCCAGAUAAGCAGCGAUGAUGCUGAGUGUGACCAUGGAGAGGAGACCUGAUGCUUGCCUACCCCGUGCUGGGUGCAGCCACUUGCCUCUUUGCAAAUGCGGAGGGAAAUGCUGCCCGUGGAGAGAGAUUCACACUUCACAGAGGUACAGAAGAGACAAAUGCAUUAGCCGUUAUUGCAAGGCCUGUGUGUAUUUCCCGGAUCAGGUGGAUUUCUGGGAAAGGACGAAUGGUAAGAGUUGCUAAGGAUAGCUGGGAAAAUAAAGCAUCUUUACAGAAAUCCCCAUAUGAGCAAACACAGACCGGGAUGCACAAACCUGUCCUGCAGCCUUGGGCUUAA
Molecule: long non-coding RNA, 337 nt
Filed under: Falco tinnunculus (common kestrel)
Lineage: Eukaryota; Metazoa; Chordata; Aves; Falconiformes; Falconidae
Description: lncRNA (ENSFTIG00000005719.1)
Source: RNAcentral